Molecule: RNA transcript, 1172 nt
Organism: Dendrobium catenatum
Lineage: Eukaryota; Viridiplantae; Streptophyta; Magnoliopsida; Asparagales; Orchidaceae
Gene name: cilia- and flagella-associated protein 298
Exons: 8
Source: RefSeq, a predicted model, not a curated record
UCGCCGUCGAGCGGUGGAAUGAGCAUCCCCGAAUGUUCGACUGAUUGAGAAAAUGGUACGGAUCCACGUAAAGGCGGCGGCGGCGGAGGCGGAGGAGCAGCAGUUCCUCUACAGUUGUUCUUGCGAUUCAAGCAUCGCCGACUUAGCCGACGCGAUCCUCGAGAUUUAUAAUCUUCAGGCUUGGAUCCAAGCUCUCUGCGUCCAUGUCCGGCAAUACCUUCUCACCGAUGCUUUUAGAGAGAAUUGCGCAGGUGUUGCGGAUGUUCUUGAUAGAACUUUAUCAGAAGCAGGGACAUAUGCAUCCAAGGAGCAAGUUUUACAUCAAAGGUUUUUAUCAUCUCACUUUCUCCGAGACCAUAUUCAAACGAUAGAAAAGGAAGUCAAGAUUGCUCGUUCAAGGGGUUUGCCAGAAUCAAAUACUCAAAUAACAACUUUUACUCCAGAACUCCAUAAAGAUGUUCAGCUUAUAUGGGCAGGAAAAGAGUUAUCGAGGGGGAAACGGUUAUGUGACUAUAUUGGUGGAAAUGAGAAAACAAAGAUUACAAUCAAAUUGAAGUUGGGCUGUGAAGACUUGGAAAAUAGAAUGGUCACAAAUGUACAAGAAGGUUGCUGACAGUUAGUAUUGUUGAUUCUUACUAGCCAAAGCAACUUAAUGGUCCCUUGACAGUUAGUCUCUCUCUCUCUCUGCUAGUGGUUUUGAAAGAGCAUGACCACAUAGAAGCUCAGAAAAUGAUAUAUGUUUACAGCUAGUACCAUGUGCCUCUCAUGCUUAUUGUCUGGGUUGAUCUGAGGUCUUUGGGAUAAAAAUCAGAUUUACGAAGUAAGUUGUAGCUUUUGCCGCCUCCAUUCAGGCUUCGUUUGGGACGGCUUUCUUACUGUUUCUUAAAGCGAUUUUUUAGUACAAAAUUUAAAAUUUUUGUACUAGAAAGACUCUUUAAGAAGUAGGAAGAAAGCUGUCCCAAAGGAAGCCUCAAUAAAAUAUUAUGAAUGUUUCGUACAUUUAUUUUCUGUUCACCAAAAUCUGGGUUGUUACGUAGUUACUCAGCAACUUCCUUGAAAGAGAGUUACAUAUUUGUUUCUUUUGGAGAAGUUUAUCUUUAUUGCAGUAGUCUGAAUAUUUUUGCACUGUUUUUUGCAACUGCAAGCUAUGAAUCUAUUAUAAAUUUAAGUUC